RNAcentral lists this long non-coding RNA (434 nucleotides) under Mytilus galloprovincialis (Mediterranean mussel). The record is from RNAcentral. Lineage: Eukaryota; Metazoa; Mollusca; Bivalvia; Mytilida; Mytilidae.
GUUCUUAUUAGGCCAAAAAAAAAUAUAUGUCUGUUUCCUGCUUCCAAGGCAAAUAAAUCAGGGUCGGUAGGUCGGGAUUUUUUUUUUAAUUUUUGCACUCCCUGUCAGAUUUGCAGUCGGUUACAUGUCAUGUUUGGUUAGGGUCCUGUACCCCAAAAUGAUUUAAUCCCUUUAAAGAAGCUUUAAUUGAAUAAUCCUCCCAGUGCUGACAUUUUUUAAACCUUAAUUGUAGCACAUUUGUGCUGGGAGCAGCCAUUUUGAUUGUUUGGGCAUAGUAAAAUACGGAUCUGGAUCGGACCGGAAAUGAAUUUUCCGGACCGGAAACGAUUUUUUUCCGGAUUUGAAUAAAAAGAUCUAGGGUCGGGGGGUUUGAGUCAGGGUCGGUCGGGAAACAGGAAACAGACAUAUAUUUUUUUUUGGCCUUAUUGUGACCU